Carassius gibelio (silver crucian carp) is the source of this 676-nucleotide long non-coding RNA. RefSeq lists it as uncharacterized. The record is from RefSeq and is a predicted model, not a curated record. The transcript is spliced from 4 exons. NCBI's taxonomy places the organism in Eukaryota, Metazoa, Chordata, Actinopteri, Cypriniformes, Cyprinidae.
AGUACAAAAAUAGGAAUAAAGCUCUUGCUCAACGCCGCAGAGAAAGAAGGCCGCGCACUGGAAUGGCAGGAGCGGCCAGACUGACAAGAGGUCCUGUUGACCAAUACGGAUUUGCCAGAGGGGGAGACUGAGGCAGCAUUGGAGAAUAUAAAGAGCGAUCUGCUGAACAUCUACUCAGGCAUGCCAUCUACUGUCUUUUUUGGAGGAAGGAAUGAGUGGGGCAGAGAGAGCAGAACCAAUGAUGGAAAAGACAUGCAUCAUCCUGCGGAAAUACCUUAGCAAAGUGCCUGCUGCAGCGAUGUCUGAGAUCAAACAGGAAUCCGUGAUGUUCUGGCCUGCUAUGAUCCAGACUCUGACAAGGCUGCCUGCAUCCUGCUGCUCCUAAUGUUGUAAUGUAAGAGCCGAAAGAGAGUUUGAUGCUUCAAGUUGCUCCAUGUGCCACUGCUGUGGACGUCAAUACUGCAGAACUCCCCGGAACCCCCUGCUUGAUCAUUCAAGGUAAUGUUACUUUGAUCUAGUUUCGACAUUUCUUCAUUCUCCCUAUUUUUACAUGGAGUAGCUGCUUCGUCUUCAGCAGCUGUUACAUAUUCAACCUUGAGUAUCCUACCGCUGGAUCUUAGACGCUGGAGUUCAUUCAAAGGUAUUUUAUAAAGAUCACAUUUAAUCUUGUAAUUCA